Molecule: ribosomal RNA, 612 nt
Filed under: Cicindela (Rivacindela) sp. JP-37
Lineage: Eukaryota; Metazoa; Arthropoda; Insecta; Coleoptera; Carabidae
Description: partial 16S ribosomal RNA
Rfam family: Bacterial large subunit ribosomal RNA
Source: RNAcentral
UUUAAGGUCUAACCUGCCCAAUGAGGAUUUAAAUGGCCGCAGUAUUUUGACUGUGCAAAGGUAGCAUAAUUAUUAGUUUUUUAAUUGAAAGCUUGUAUGAAGGGUUGGACGAGAUGAAAUCUGUCUUUAUUUAAAUUAAAAUAUAAUUUAACUUUUGAGUAAAAAGGCUUAAAUGUUUAUAAAAGACGAGAAGACCCUAUAGAUCUUUAUUUAAUUAAAAUUUUAAUAAUUUAGGAUUAUUUUAAUUUAGAGUUUUAAUUAAAUUUUAUUGGGGUAAUAUAAAGAUUAAAUAAAUUCUUUUUAUUUAUAACAUUGAUUUAUGAAUAUAUGAUCCAUUAAUAUUGAUUAUAAGAUUAAGUUACCUUAGGGAUAACAGCGUAAUUUUUUUGGAGAGCUCAUAUCGAUAAAAAAGUUUGCGACCUCGAUGUUGGAUUAAAAAUUAGCUUGGGUGCAGAAGCUCAAGAUUUUGGUCUGUUCGACCAUUAAAUUUUUACAUGAUCUGAGUUCAGACCGGCGUGAGCCAGGUCGGUUUCUAUCUUUAUUAAGAUAAAAUGUUUUAGUACGAAAGGACCAAAUAUUUAAUAUAAUUAUAUUUAUUUUUUGAAGAAUAUU